CAGGUGAAAGUCUUUUUCUCGUUGUACUCAAACUUAAACCAAGGAAGAGAUAGCAUCGAAAGUAAGAGCAUAAUUCCUCCCCAUAUAAAAGCUAUGAAAUACCCAUACUUGGUAACUCCACAGAUAUUUAUCCAAAUGUACCAGGCUAGCACAGCCACACACGGGAUAGAAAGAGCGAUAGCUAUAUGGGCCCACAUGCUAUAAGCGCCAUAACUCGCUUUGUCUCCUUGAAUGAAAGUCAUUGUGGCUAGGUUUGCUAAAGACAGUUCUAUACGAUCAAAAAACUGCGUCAGAGAUCUUGAGAUUAUCAGUAUUAGGAAUAAAGCACUUAGCGAAGACUGUGAAUUGCGAGUCUUGGAGGAGGGUUUGGCUGGAUUGUUGGA
This is a non-coding RNA of Paramuricea clavata, 383 nucleotides long. NCBI's taxonomy places the organism in Eukaryota, Metazoa, Cnidaria, Anthozoa, Malacalcyonacea, Plexauridae. The record is from the annotation of a GenBank genome assembly.